This 166-nucleotide ribosomal RNA is filed under the name Ficus glaberrima. Its description in RNAcentral is "5.8S ribosomal RNA". It matches the Rfam family "5.8S ribosomal RNA". From Rfam's summary of the family: 5.8S ribosomal RNA (5.8S rRNA) is a component of the large subunit of the eukaryotic ribosome. It is transcribed by RNA polymerase I as part of the 45S precursor that also contains 18S and 28S rRNA. Functionally, it is thought that 5.8S rRNA may be involved in ribosome translocation. Lineage: Eukaryota; Viridiplantae; Streptophyta; Magnoliopsida; Rosales; Moraceae. The record is from RNAcentral.
AGAACGACUCUCGGCAACGGAUAUCUCGGCUCUCGCAUCGAUGAAGAACGUAGCGAAAUGCGAUACUUGGUGUGAAUUGCAGAAUCCCGUGAACCAUCGAGUCUUUUGAACGCAAGUUGCGCCCGAAAGCCAUCAGGUCGAGGGCACGUCUGCCUGGGCGUCACAC